Molecule: ribosomal RNA, 497 nt
Filed under: uncultured bacterium
Lineage: Bacteria
Description: partial 16S ribosomal RNA
Rfam family: Bacterial small subunit ribosomal RNA
Source: RNAcentral
GACGAACGCUGGCGGCGUGCCUAAUACAUGCAAGUAGAACGCUGAAGAGAGGAGCUUGCUCUUCUUGGAUGAGUUGCGAACGGGUGAGUAACGCGUAGGUAACCUGCCUUGUAGCGGGGGAUAACUAUUGGAAACGAUAGCUAAUACCGCAUAACAAUGGAUGACACAUGUCAUUUAUUUGAAAGGUGCAAUUGCUCCACUACAAGAUGGACCUGCGUUGUAUUAGCUAGUAGGUGAGGUAAUGGCUCACCUAGGCGACGAUACAUAGCCGACCUGAGAGGGUGAUCGGCCACACUGGGACUGAGACACGGCCCAGACUCCUACGGGAGGCAGCAGUAGGGAAUCUUCGGCAAUGGGGGCAACCCUGACCGAGCAACGCCGCGUGAGUGAAGAAGGUUUUCGGAUCGUAAAGCUCGGUUGUAAGUCAAGAACGGGUGUGAGAGUGGAAAGUUCACACUGUGACGGUAGCUUACCAGAAAGGGACGGCUAACUACGUG